GUUUCCGUAGGUGAACCUGCUGCUGGAUCAUUACACAAACGCCAAAAAUGGUCUCUAUUUUACGCAUGUGUUGCACAGAGCACUCACUCUCAUAAGCCUUCUUGGGAGUUGGGGAGUGCGAGUCAUUUGUGUGUCAGUCAAGCAUAGAACGGCACAAACGGCGCCUAUCCGCUCAGCCAUAUGGAGAAAAUAUUAUGGUUCCGUCAUCACCAUGUGUUGCCUUGCAUCUGGUGUUGGUGGCUUUUGCGAUGGAGCGGUCAAGUAAACGGCUAACGCUGGUGUCUGUGUGUUGCUGAGCAGUCGUAUUCGUCCGUGGCUGUGAUGAGGCAAUGCGGUAGGGUCUGCACGUAUGCCUUCUCGUGUAUGGCUUAAGACUUAAUGAGCCCAUUCAGUGUGGGGACGCCAGCAAAACCUUUUUUUCCACAUUUUUUUUAUGCUAUGAAAGCAAACAAACGAAAAAUUCUAGUCUUAUCGGUGGAUCACUCGGCUCGUAGGUCGAUGAAGAACGCAGCUAACUGCGAUAAAUAGUGUGAACUGCAGAAACCUUGAACACAAAAGCUUCGAAUGCACAUUGCACCAUGGGAGUCUUAUCCCUUGGUAUGCCUGGUUCAGGGUCGUAAACCCUAAAACGCAUAGAUAUGCGUGAAAAAUGAUAAGAUCACUCGAUUGACACCCACAGAGUGUUCUUGUAACUCGAAAAUGUGUCGUGUAAUUGGCGUGUUGUGAGGUGGACACCUCGGCUUUGUAUGUGGACAUACAAACCAUAGCUAGGGUGGACAUCGGUGGGGACAUCUCGAAUCACUUCAGGCCAGUGUGCUGUGAAUAAGCGCACGACAUAAAUUUGCGUGUGUAUACAUCACAAAGUCCAAUGCCUUCUGGACUACGUGUUCUCAAGUGUGUGUACACCCAAAAAUCAAUUCGCAUUUUCGACCUGAACUCAGACAUGACUACCCGCUGAACUUAAGCAUAU
This 970-nucleotide ribosomal RNA is filed under the name Pratylenchus hippeastri. RNAcentral describes it as "eukaryotic LSU rRNA". The stretch from base 464 to 617 matches the Rfam family "5.8S ribosomal RNA". The record is from RNAcentral. Lineage: Eukaryota; Metazoa; Nematoda; Chromadorea; Rhabditida; Pratylenchidae.